This 274-nucleotide ribosomal RNA is filed under the name Enterobacter hormaechei. RNAcentral's name for it is "partial 23S ribosomal RNA". It matches the Rfam family "Bacterial large subunit ribosomal RNA", at positions 1 to 276 of the family's 2925-position model. Lineage: Bacteria; Pseudomonadati; Pseudomonadota; Gammaproteobacteria; Enterobacterales; Enterobacteriaceae. The record is from RNAcentral.
GGUUAAGCGACUAAGCGUACACGGUGGAUGCCCUGGCAGUCAGAGGCGAUGAAGGACGUGCUAAUCUGCGAAAAGCGCCGGCGAGGUGAUAUGAACCCUUGACCCGGCGAUGUCCGAAUGGGGAAACCCAGUGCAAUCCGUUGCACUAUCGUUAACUGAAUACAUAGGUUAACGAGGCGAACCGGGGGAACUGAAACAUCUAAGUACCCCGAGGAAAAGAAAUCAACCGAGAUUCCCCCAGUAGCGGCGAGCGAACGGGGAGCAGCCCGGAGUC